AAUAACCGUAUAUCUGGACAAUGAAACUGAAAAGUUUAUAGUAUAAGAAAUUGCUCGGUUUUACUUCUAGGUAAAAGGUUCGUACAGGUUAACUAACAGGGCUAACGUACGCAAUGCAACGCUCUAUUUUAAGACGACAUUAUCGUCGCGUCUCGUCUACCGAACCGGUUUACUUUUACCUCGAUCAGUUUGUUCGAUAAAUCAAUCUCACCUCGGCCAAGGGAACGUCGUCUGCCAGGGCCGAGUUCGGGCUACCUGUCGGCGGAUGUUUCAAUUUGUAAUCGGAAAUAUCUACAUUUAUUAUGCGAUUCCAGGGUGUGCAUUACAUCCGGUUGUCGCAGAUAGCAGGCGGUGGUGACCAAUGCCGAGAUAUUAAUCAUCGCCGAUUUAAUUCAGCACUAUCAAACCAGUUUUCCAUGAAAUCGGCAUGCGAACGCGAUUAACUUCCCGUCAAUUUCGUUUCGUCUUCGUACAUCUUGUUUUCCUUGCUUUUCUGAUUUUUUCUCUUACUCAUAGUUCAUACGCUUUUUGAAUGUCCUUAGGGUCUCCUAAAACUAAAAUUAUACGAGAGAAAUCUAUAAUCUAUAAUUUGUCACUUGUCAAUUUGCUGAUAUCAUUAAUUAGUAAAUUAUCGUGCAAGACGGCCAAGAUCACACGGCUGUGUGAAGUUGACAUUCGUUUUUGACGAAUCUGAAGACAUUUAUUAUUAAAUAUGACGAUAAUUAUCCGUAAUUGUAAUGAUGUUGUAUAGAUGAUACAUUGUAAUAGUGCUUUUAGUUUGAAUUCGACGAUCAUGGCAAAAGUAUUAUAGUUUAGAAACCCUAAAAUAUGGAUUUCAGAAGUGAAAUUAACUCAAAUGAAGAUGAACUUGAUUUUGAACUGUUAAAAAAUGAGAUCAAUUAUAUUCAAGAAUGCAUCUUGGUGAAUGCUUUAUAAAUUAUCAUA
Long non-coding RNA from Bombus impatiens (common eastern bumble bee), 945 nucleotides. RefSeq lists it as uncharacterized. The record is from RefSeq and is a predicted model, not a curated record. Lineage: Eukaryota; Metazoa; Arthropoda; Insecta; Hymenoptera; Apidae. The transcript has 2 exons.